RNAcentral lists this ribosomal RNA (930 nucleotides) under Triticum aestivum (bread wheat). Its description in RNAcentral is "partial small subunit ribosomal RNA". Lineage: Eukaryota; Viridiplantae; Streptophyta; Magnoliopsida; Poales; Poaceae. The record is from RNAcentral.
AUGGACGGUUGCUGGCGGCUCCCCGGAGGCCACGGCGGCGGCGCCGCCGGCCGCGUCGUCCGCGUGCACUUUCUGGACGCGGAUGCCACCGACGACUCCGACGAGGAGACGAACCGGCCUCAGCGACGCGGCGCGCGGCGAUGCGUGCGGGAGAUCGGCCUGCCGCGCGGGUUCUCUCUUCCGUCCGCCGCGGCGGGUGCGGUGAGCAGCUCCUCCCACUGGACGCGCGAGAAGAGGUUGAGGGCGGCCGCGGCCGGCAAGGCGCGUACGUUGGUGGCGUGCGGCGGGGAUGAUUGGUCCGCGGGGGCUAGGGCGGCCCGGCGAUUGCGCGGCGUGCGGCGCCGGCCGUGGGGCAAGUAUGCGGCGGAGAUCCGCGACCCGAAGCUGGGGCGGCGCGUCUGGCUUGGCACCUUCAACACCGCCGAGGAGGCCAAGUCCGUCUAUGACUCCGCCGUGCUCCGCCUCCGCGGCCCGAGCGCAGUCACUAAGGACACCGCGCCUUCCCCCUCGCCGCCCGUCUCCACCGUGACGGCGUCCGCGCCGUCGCCGUCGACAUCCGCGGCCUCUCCCCCGUCGCCCUCCACCACGGCGGCCCCUUCUCCGUCGCCCUACGGUAGGGCGGCCUCUCCCCCGUCGCCCUCCACCACGGCGACCUCUGCCCCGUCGCCCAUCAGCACGGCGGCCUCCCCCCCGUCGCCCUCCACCACGGCGGCCUCCCAGUCGGCGACCACCAGCUGGUCCUUGGUGAACGCGGACGAGGAGGUGACGGCAGCGUUCGGCCUGGGAUUCGUCGACGAGGAGACCUCCCUGAACAACCUGAUGCAGUUCUGCCUCCCCGCAGCGUGCAGCAGCAGGUGGGACCCCUCGGCGGACUUCGUGGAGCUGGCGGACCUCGACGACCUCUUCGCGCCGGAGCCCCUGGCGGCCUGA